AACGAACGCUGGCGGCAUGCCUAACACAUGCAAGUCGAACGAGACCUUCGGGUAUAGUGGCGCACGGGUGCGUAACGCGUGGGAACCUGCCCUUAGGUUCGGAAUAACUCCCCGAAAGGGGUGCUAAUACCGGAUAAUGUCUUCGGACCAAAGAUUUAUCGCCUUUGGAUGGGCCCGCGUUGGAUUAGCUAGUUGGUAGGGUAAAAGCCUACCAAGGCGACGAUCCAUAGCUGGUCUGAGAGGAUGAUCAGCCACACUGGGACUGAGACACGGCCCAGACUCCUACGGGAGGCAGCAGUGGGGAAUAUUGGACAAUGGGCGAAAGCCUGAUCCAGCAAUGCCGCGUGAGUGAUGAAGGCCUUAGGGUUGUAAAGCUCUUUUACCCGGGAUGAUAAUGACAGUACCGGGAGAAUAAGCGCCGGCUAACUCCGUG
RNAcentral lists this ribosomal RNA (433 nucleotides) under uncultured bacterium. RNAcentral's name for it is "partial 16S ribosomal RNA". It matches the Rfam family "Bacterial small subunit ribosomal RNA", at positions 29 to 507 of the family's 1533-position model. The record is from RNAcentral.